UGAGGAAUAUUGGUCAAUGGGCGCGAGCCUGAACCAGCCAAGUAGCGUGCAGGAUGACGGCCCUAUGGGUUGUAAACUGCUUUUGUAUGGGGAUAAAGUCAAUCACGUGUGAUUGUUUGCAGGUACCAUACGAAUAAGGACCGGCUAAUUCCGUGCCAGCAGCCGCGGUAAUACGGAAGGUCCGGGCGUUAUCCGGAUUUAUUGGGUUUAAAGGGAGCGUAGGCCGGAGAUUAAGUGUGUUGUGAAAUGUAGACGCUCAACGUCUGACUUGCAGCGCAUACUGGUUUCCUUGAGUACGCACAACGUUGGCGGAAUUCGUCGUGUAGCGGUGAAAUGCUUAGAUAUGACGAAGAACUCCGAUUGCGAAGGCAGCUGACGGGAGCGCAACUGACGCUUAAGCUCGAAGGUGCGGGUAUCGAACAGGAUUAGAUACCUUGGUAGUCCGCACAGUAAACGAUGGAUGCCCGCUGUUGGUACCUGGUAUCAGCGGCUAAGCGAAAGCAUUAAGCAUCCCACCUGGGGAGUACGCCGGCAACGGUG
Molecule: ribosomal RNA, 540 nt
Filed under: uncultured bacterium
Lineage: Bacteria
Description: bacterial SSU rRNA
Rfam family: Bacterial small subunit ribosomal RNA
Source: RNAcentral